AGAGUUUGAUCAUGGCUCAGGACGAACGCUGGCGGCGUGCCUAAUACAUGCAAGUCGAACGAACUCUGGUAUUGAUUGGUGCUUGCAUCAUGAUUUACAUUUGAGUGAGUGGCGAACUGGUGAGUAACACGUGGGAAACCUGCCCAGAAGCGGGGGAUAACACCUGGAAACAGAUGCUAAUACCGCAUAACAACUUGGACCGCAUGGUCCGAGUUUGAAAGAUGGCUUCGGCUAUCACUUCUGGAUGGUCCCGCGGCGUAUUAGCUAGAUGGUGAGGUAACGGCUCACCAUGGCAAUGAUACGUAGCCGACCUGAGAGGGUAAUCGGCCACAUUGGGACUGAGACACGGCCCAAACUCCUACGGGAGGCAGCAGUAGGGAAUCUUCCACAAUGGACGAAAGUCUGAUGGAGCAACGCCGCGUGAGUGAAGAAGGGUUUCGGCUCGUAAAACUCUGUUGUUAAAGAAGAACAUAUCUGAGAGUAACUGUUCAGGUAUUGACGGUAUUUAACCAGAAAGCCACGGCUAACUACGUGCCAGCAGCCGCGGUAAUACGUAGGUGGCAAGCGUUGUCCGGAUUUAUUGGGCGUAAAGCGAGCGCAGGCGGUUUUUUAAGUCUGAUGUGAAAGCCUUCGGCUCAACCGAAGAAGUGCAUCGGAAACUGGGAAACUUGAGUGCAGAAGAGGACAGUGGAACUCCAUGUGUAGCGGUGAAAUGCGUAGAUAUAUGGAAGAACACCAGUGGCGAAGGCGGCUGUCUGGUCUGUAACUGACGCUGAGGCUCGAAAGUAUGGGUAGCAAACAGGAUUAGAUACCCUGGUAGUCCAUACCGUAAACGAUGAAUGCUAAGUGUUGGAGGGUUUCCGCCCUUCAGUGCUGCAGCUAACGCAUUAAGCAUUCCGCCUGGGGA
RNAcentral lists this ribosomal RNA (907 nucleotides) under uncultured bacterium. RNAcentral describes it as "bacterial SSU rRNA". It matches the Rfam family "Bacterial small subunit ribosomal RNA", at positions 8 to 879 of the family's 1533-position model. The record is from RNAcentral.